CGGACGGGUGAGUAAUGUCUGGGAAACUGCCUGAUGGAGGGGGAUAACCACUGGAAACGGUAGCUAAUACCGCAUAACGUCGCAAGACCAAAGAGGGGGACCUUAGGGCCUCUUGCCAUCGGAUGUGCCCAGAUGGGAUUAGCUAGUAGGUGGGGUAACGGCUCACCUAGGCGACGAUCCCUAGCUGGUCUGAGAGGAUGACCAGCCACACUGGAACUGAGACACGGUCCAG
This 232-nucleotide ribosomal RNA is filed under the name uncultured bacterium. Its description in RNAcentral is "partial 16S ribosomal RNA". It matches the Rfam family "Bacterial small subunit ribosomal RNA", at positions 99 to 334 of the family's 1533-position model. The record is from RNAcentral.